RNAcentral lists this ribosomal RNA (1231 nucleotides) under Staphylococcus haemolyticus. RNAcentral describes it as "bacterial SSU rRNA". It matches the Rfam family "Bacterial small subunit ribosomal RNA", at positions 26 to 1261 of the family's 1533-position model. Lineage: Bacteria; Bacillati; Bacillota; Bacilli; Caryophanales; Staphylococcaceae. The record is from RNAcentral.
GGGGUUUUGCUAUUCUCUGUCUAUCAUGCAGUCGAGCGAACAGACAAGGAGCUUGCUCCUUUGACGUUAGCGGCGGACGGGUGAGUAACACGUGGGUAACCUACCUAUAAGACUGGGAUAACUUCGGGAAACCGGAGCUAAUACCGGAUAAUAUUUCGAACCGCAUGGUUCGAUAGUGAAAGAUGGUUUUGCUAUCACUUAUAGAUGGACCCGCGCCGUAUUAGCUAGUUGGUAAGGUAACGGCUUACCAAGGCGACGAUACGUAGCCGACCUGAGAGGGUGAUCGGCCACACUGGAACUGAGACACGGUCCAGACUCCUACGGGAGGCAGCAGUAGGGAAUCUUCCGCAAUGGGCGAAAGCCUGACGGAGCAACGCCGCGUGAGUGAUGAAGGUCUUCGGAUCGUAAAACUCUGUUAUUAGGGAAGAACAUACGUGUAAGUAACUAUGCACGUCUUGACGGUACCUAAUCAGAAAGCCACGGCUAACUACGUGCCAGCAGCCGCGGUAAUACGUAGGUGGCAAGCGUUAUCCGGAAUUAUUGGGCGUAAAGCGCGCGUAGGCGGUUUUUUAAGUCUGAUGUGAAAGCCCACGGCUCAACCGUGGAGGGUCAUUGGAAACUGGAAAACUUGAGUGCAGAAGAGGAAAGUGGAAUUCCAUGUGUAGCGGUGAAAUGCGCAGAGAUAUGGAGGAACACCAGUGGCGAAGGCGACUUUCUGGUCUGUAACUGACGCUGAUGUGCGAAAGCGUGGGGAUCAAACAGGAUUAGAUACCCUGGUAGUCCACGCCGUAAACGAUGAGUGCUAAGUGUUAGGGGGUUUCCGCCCCUUAGUGCUGCAGCUAACGCAUUAAGCACUCCGCCUGGGGAGUACGACCGCAAGGUUGAAACUCAAAGGAAUUGACGGGGACCCGCACAGCGGUGGAGCAUGUGGUUUAAUUCGAAGCAACGCGAAGAACCUUACCAAAUCUUGACAUCCUUUGACAACUCUAGAAGAUAGAGCUUCCCCUUCGGGGGACAAAGGGACAGUUGUGCAUGUUGUCGUCAGCUCGGUGUUCGUGAGAUGUUGGUAGGUCCCGCCACGAGCGCACUCGUAAGCUAAGUGCCAUCAUAGGUGGGCACUCUAAGUUGACUGCGUACAAACUGAAGAGGUGGGAUGACUCAUCAUCUAUGCCUUAGAGAUUGGCGCUUAACACGUGCUCACAAUGGGCACAAUUCCAAGUGUCACGCUUAC